Long non-coding RNA from Lactuca sativa (garden lettuce), 304 nucleotides. RefSeq lists it as uncharacterized. NCBI's taxonomy places the organism in Eukaryota, Viridiplantae, Streptophyta, Magnoliopsida, Asterales, Asteraceae. The record is from RefSeq and is a predicted model, not a curated record.
UCAUUAGCCUUAUGCAGCUCUCAAAGCUAGAGAAUAUCUUGAUAAGCCUGCAAUACAUGAGACAAUGGUGAAGGUUAGCGCUUAUCUGCUUGGAGAAUACAGCCAUCUUUUGGCCAGACGACCUGGGUGUAGCCCAAAGGACAUUUUUGUCAUUAUACAUGAGAAGCUUCCUACUGUAUCGACUCCAACAAUAUCCAUUCUUCUCUCAACAUACGCAAAGAUUUUGAUGCACUCUCAACCACCAGAUCCCGAAUUACAAAACUAGAUCUGGGCAAUAUUCAGCAAGUGAGUUUAUAAUAAAUAG